UGUUAAAAAUUCAUCUAUUUUUAUUGUUAAAAACUAGCAUGACUGAUGGUAUAACCAGUAAUUACAUGUGGCAUUCCACGUGUAUCUUAUUUUAACAUACAAAGACUAUUUUUUAACAAUAAAAAUGAAUAAUUUUUAACA
Molecule: non-coding RNA, 141 nt
Organism: Gossypium raimondii (Peruvian cotton)
Lineage: Eukaryota; Viridiplantae; Streptophyta; Magnoliopsida; Malvales; Malvaceae
Source: Rfam